RNAcentral lists this small RNA (119 nucleotides) under Klebsiella pneumoniae. RNAcentral describes it as "RtT sRNA". It matches the Rfam family "RtT RNA". From Rfam's summary of the family: This family represents a bacterial cis-regulatory element known as RtT RNA. The record is from RNAcentral. Lineage: Bacteria; Pseudomonadati; Pseudomonadota; Gammaproteobacteria; Enterobacterales; Enterobacteriaceae.
UAUUCUGCCCCACGGGGAAGGAUGAGAAGCUUCGACCAAGGUUCGACUCGAGCGAAGCGAGAGAACGUUGCCGCAGGCAACGGCCCGAAGGGCGAAGCGAGAGAACGUUGCCGCAGGCA